This is a long non-coding RNA of Zea mays, 997 nucleotides long. RefSeq lists it as uncharacterized. The record is from RefSeq and is a predicted model, not a curated record. The transcript has 3 exons. Lineage: Eukaryota; Viridiplantae; Streptophyta; Magnoliopsida; Poales; Poaceae.
GGGGGUGCCAUGCCUUUCGCGUGGCGCGGGAGGCCGUAGAGGUUGAAGCCGAGCUGCUACGGCCUAUGGGUGCAGCUUGCCGAGGCCGAUGGUCGCGGAUUUGAAAAUGAAGAGGAAGAGCAGUGCUACCACUGAUUUGAGAGCUUUUUUAGCAAGAGCUGCUGCAAAAAAGAAGGUUAUUAUUGCUCCAUCUUCCAAUGAAAGAGAGAUGCAAUUGGUGAUAUUUCAAGGACAGACUGAAGCUAGUAAUGCAACACCCGCAGAACAAGAGAGAGUUGAGAAGGAAGAUGGGACAAAAAAAUUUAAAUGGAUGCUUGGUUACUUUUAUUGAAAGGCAAUUCUUCUUGCAAGUCAAGGAUGAGGACAUUGCCACUCAAUUUCAAAGCUUAAAGGAUCAGAAGGUUGUCUUGUAAUAUGAGGAGAUACAGAAACUUCUUGAUUCUUGGGACAAUUUGGACAAGUUGUACCAUGACGCCAGCAAUUCUCUCACCACCUUAGAGAGGAGCCACCGCUUUACCAUGUCAGAGCUGGAGCGCCAGAGAGAUGAGUUAAAAAUCUCCCAGUACGAGAUAUCAAGACUUAGCAGGUCAUUGUCUUUGAAAGAUCCCAUCAUCAGAGAGCUUCGCAUCUUGAAGAAACUUGUGUCGCAGGAGCUAGAGGUUGCUCGUCGCGAUGUAGAGGCUUCCCAUCAUGAUAUCAAGGUCUUGGAGGACGAUCGUGCUAUCAUGAAGGCAUGGUGUGACAAAGCAAUGGAUAAGGCUAUCCGGGCUGGCCGGAUUUUGAUGAAGAGGCCUGGCGUUGUGGUGCCUGAUGACAUUGUAGUUGAUGUACUCGUUGCAUCGGGUACUUUGAGUAAUCCUUCUGCUUCUGGUGACCCUGUGGACAAGGUUCCUCGCGAGGAUGCUCAUGCACAGUAACUAGAGAGUGAGAGUGUACAUUGAUUUGUUCAAACAGAUAAUAACUUUUCAUUGAGAUGGUAUUUUUCGCGGUUUUUUGA